CGGUGAAUACGUUCCCGGGCCUUGUACACACCGCCCGUCACACCAUGGGAGUUGGUUUUACCCGAAGGCGCUGUGCUAACCGCAAGGAGGCAGGCGACCACGGUAGGGUCAGCGACUGGGGUGAAGUCGUAACAAAGUAGCCGUAGGGGAACCUGCGGCUGGAUCACCUCCUU
RNAcentral lists this ribosomal RNA (173 nucleotides) under Brucella intermedia. RNAcentral's name for it is "Ochrobactrum intermedium partial 16S ribosomal RNA". It matches the Rfam family "Bacterial small subunit ribosomal RNA", at positions 1360 to 1532 of the family's 1533-position model. The record is from RNAcentral. Lineage: Bacteria; Pseudomonadati; Pseudomonadota; Alphaproteobacteria; Hyphomicrobiales; Brucellaceae.